AAGUCGUAACAAGGUAACCGUAGGUGAACCUGCGGUUGGAUCAUUAGUAAAUUUGGGAGCGCAAGUUCCUGAACACUGUGUGCACUAUUGUCUGUCUCUGGUGGAAUCAGGAGGUCUGAACCCUGGGAAGGCCGCAAGGCCUUCUUCUUGGGGUGACGGUCUCCCUCUGCCGAAAUGUGUAAAACCUAUGUCUACUGUAUUUUAGUCUGAUCUUGGUUUCUUAUUCUGCUACCGAAAGGUGGUGGAUGAAAUCUAAAAACAACUUUUGACAACGGAUCUCUUGGCUCUC
This 289-nucleotide unclassified non-coding RNA is filed under the name fungal sp. RNAcentral's name for it is "partial internal transcribed spacer region". The stretch from base 1 to 46 matches the Rfam family "Eukaryotic small subunit ribosomal RNA", at positions 1786 to 1831 of the family's 1831-position model. The record is from RNAcentral. Lineage: Eukaryota; Fungi.